AAAAAUGUAAGAAAUUAAUAAAUAAAUAAAUGAGAUAGAGCAAAAAUAAAUACACCUCUCUCUUUCUUUCUCUCUCUCAAUCAAUAUCAGGUUCUUCUUUCUCUCUGUAUUUUUUCUCUCUCUCAUCUCAUGGUGAUGGUAUCAUCUCCGCCACAAUUUUUGUCGGAGAGCCGCCGGUGAUCGGUGUCUUUCUCCAUCUCCUCUACAUUUUGAUUCCGUCGGUAACCACCUUUAUCUUGUUCAUAUUUCUCUCAUUUUUCUUGUUUUGGGAAAUUAGUUUAGCUCCGUUAUUCUUCGCUGUAGAUCCGUUUUCCAUCUUUCGGUUUAAAUUCCUAUGGAUCGGGUUGUUUAUGGAUCUGCUUAGAUCUUUUUGUAAAUUUUGAUAAUUCGUUAUUGUCGGGUUUUUAAUUAUUAAAACCGGCUGUUGCGUAAUUUUGUUUAUUGAUUUUUACCUAUUUUGAAACGGUCUUUUGGAUUUGGUAUUGUGUUAUCUUGUUUAAUUUUUUUCCUUCUCUGAUAUCUGUAUUUUCCAUUUCUGUCAUACCUGAAAAAUAUUCGCGCCGUUGCUAGUUUUCUUCCCCGAUUUUUUCUCUUGUACGGAAAAGGUAGAGUUUGACCUCGUUAGUUUUCAAAUCUAUGUUAAUUUUUCCUAGGUGGAUGUUUAGGAAUUUUGGUUUUCGUUUUUUUAGAAAUAUUUGUUGGAAUCCAGCUGUGAUUUUCAAUCGGAGCUAUUUCUGCUUUAGUAUUUGUUAUUGUGCUGUGACAUUGAUAUUGAGCUGAAGUCGUGUAUAUUUGAACUGUUUGAUUGGAGGUUUUGCCCCAAAUAUUAUUUACUUUGAUAUGAUUUAUAAUAAAGCGAACCUUUGUAGGAUAUGUGUUUAAUGUUCUUGUUUUUGAUACCAUGUUGCUCAGGUGAAUGACCUUUUGAGGUAAUAAAUAGUGAGCAAGCUU
RNAcentral lists this long non-coding RNA (951 nucleotides) under Nicotiana tabacum (common tobacco). RNAcentral's name for it is "long non-coding RNA (NTAB_LNC006504)". Lineage: Eukaryota; Viridiplantae; Streptophyta; Magnoliopsida; Solanales; Solanaceae. The record is from RNAcentral.